UCCCCCAUGUGUGAUGCAUACGACGGUGUCU
RNAcentral lists this non-coding RNA (31 nucleotides) under Mus musculus (house mouse). The record is from RNAcentral. Lineage: Eukaryota; Metazoa; Chordata; Mammalia; Rodentia; Muridae.